This 898-nucleotide ribosomal RNA is filed under the name Alternaria infectoria. RNAcentral's name for it is "partial large subunit ribosomal RNA". It matches the Rfam family "Eukaryotic large subunit ribosomal RNA", at positions 37 to 952 of the family's 3401-position model. Lineage: Eukaryota; Fungi; Ascomycota; Dothideomycetes; Pleosporales; Pleosporaceae. The record is from RNAcentral.
AGCAUAUCAAUAAGCGGAGGUAAAAGAAACCAACAGGGAUUGCCCUAGUAACGGCGAGUGAAGCGGCAACAGCUCAAAUUUGAAAUCUGGCUCUUUUAGAGUCCGAGUUGUAAUUUGCAGAGGGCGCUUUGGCUUUGGCAGCGGUCCAAGUUCCUUGGAACAGGACGUCACAGAGGGUGAGAAUCCCGUACGUGGUCGCUGGCUAUUGCCGUGUAAAGCCCCUUCGACGAGUCGAGUUGUUUGGGAAUGCAGCUCUAAAUGGGAGGUACAUUUCUUCUAAAGCUAAAUAUUGGCCAGAGACCGAUAGCGCACAAGUAGAGUGAUCGAAAGAUGAAAAGCACUUUGGAAAGAGAGUCAAACAGCACGUGAAAUUGUUGAAAGGGAAGCGCUUGCAGCCAGACUUGCUUGCAGUUGCUCAUCCGGGCUUUUGCCCGGUGCACUCUUCUGCAGGCAGGCCAGCAUCAGUUUGGGCGGUAAGAUAAAGGUCUCUGUCACGUACCUCUCUUCGGGGAGGCCUUAUAGGGGAGACGACAUAUUACCAGCCUGGACUGAGGUCCGCGCAUCUGCUAGGAUGCUGGCGUAAUGGCUGUAAGCGGCCCGUCUUGAAACACGGACCAAGGAGUCUAACAUCUAUGCGAGUGUUUGGGUGUCAAGCCCGAGCGCGUAAUGAAAGUGAACGGAGGUAGGAACCCGCAAGGGUGCACUAUCGACCGAUCCUGAUGUCUUCGGAAGGAUUUGAGUAAGAGCAUGGCUGUUGGGACCCGAAAGAUGGUGAACUAUGCUUGAAUAGGGUGAAGCCAGAGGAAACUCUGGUGGAGGCUCGCAGCGGUUCUGACGUGCAAAUCGAUCGUCAAAUUUGGGCAUAGGGGCGAAAGACUAAUCGAACUAUCUAGUAGCU